UCCCGUGUAGCUCAGUUGGUAGAGCAUGGUGUUUGCAACGCCAGGGUUGUGGGUUCGAUUACCCACGGGGGAC
RNAcentral lists this transfer RNA (73 nucleotides) under Salmo salar (Atlantic salmon). It matches the Rfam family "tRNA". Rfam says of the family: Transfer RNA (tRNA) molecules are approximately 80 nucleotides in length. Their secondary structure includes four short double-helical elements and three loops (D, anti-codon, and T loops). The record is from Rfam by way of RNAcentral. Lineage: Eukaryota; Metazoa; Chordata; Actinopteri; Salmoniformes; Salmonidae.